UUCCAUCUAAUAAUUCACGAUUACAUAUGGAAUAACUCGAAUAUUUUGGUGUAUCAGAAACUGUGGCGUGAACUAAAAUAUCUGAAUCCCAAGGAUGGACGGGUCGAUAGUUGAGUAGAUGCCGGUUUGGUUUGAAAACUUAUUCAGUACUGAUUUUCAAGGAUACCAAGUACGUGGACUUAUGCAGCCAAAUUUGCUCUCGAUUUAAAGAGCUGAAUUCAUGCGAAAUUGAGAUGACAUACGCAAUUGGAAACCACUCAACAUGUUUACUACAAGAUGACAUGGAUGUUCGUGUUUUGCACAUGUCUAUAUCCAAUGAAAACAAGAAUUUGGUGGAUAUCGAUAUUGUUAGAGGUGGAGGUACAUUGUUUGGCAAAGGUGUGGAGGAUGAUAUUGAUUCAUCAGACAAUGAAGACAGUAACUCAACUGAUGAGAAUGAAUGUCUGGGUAAGUAUGCAGCCAACAAAUCAAAACUUUAUUUGUCUCAUGAGUGGAAAACAUUUAUCAGUGAAGUUGGGCAAAAAUAUGAAGGAGGGGUAAUUGAGUUUAGAAUCAAAUUGUGCAAAUAUGCCUUUGAGAAGGGGUUUAAGUUUGUAUAUGUGAAAAAUGAUUUGAAGCGUGUUACAGCAGAAUGUGUGAA
Molecule: non-coding RNA, 640 nt
Organism: Prunus avium (sweet cherry)
Lineage: Eukaryota; Viridiplantae; Streptophyta; Magnoliopsida; Rosales; Rosaceae
Source: RefSeq, a predicted model, not a curated record